UACAGAGGUGGCAAGCGUUGUUCGGAAUUACUGGGCGUAAAGGGCGCGUAGGCGGCCUACUAAGUCAGACGUGAAAUCCCCCGGCUUAACCUGGGAACUGCGUCUGAUACUGGAAGGCUUGAGUAUGGGAGAGGGAUGUGGAAUUCCAGGUGUAGCGGUGAAAUGCGUAGAUAUCUGGAGGAACAUCGGUGGCGAAGGCGGCAUCCUGGACCGGUAUUGACGCUGAGGCGCGAAAGCCAGGGGAGCAAACGGG
This 253-nucleotide ribosomal RNA is filed under the name uncultured bacterium. RNAcentral describes it as "partial 16S ribosomal RNA". It matches the Rfam family "Bacterial small subunit ribosomal RNA", at positions 524 to 776 of the family's 1533-position model. The record is from RNAcentral.